UUCGCUUCUCGGCUUUUUGGCUAAGAUCAAGUGUAUUGUCUGUUCUUAUCAGUUUGGUAUCUGAUGCAUCCUCUAUCCGAGAACAGCAUAUUGAAUGGAUUUUUAGAGCAGGGAGGUGGAGUGGGAGCUUGCUUGGUCCACUCCACGCAUCCAAAUGGUAUUGUAGUGCCUCCAGGAAUCAUUUUCC
Choloepus didactylus (southern two-toed sloth) is the source of this 187-nucleotide small nuclear RNA. RefSeq annotates it as U2 spliceosomal RNA. NCBI's taxonomy places the organism in Eukaryota, Metazoa, Chordata, Mammalia, Pilosa, Megalonychidae. The record is from RefSeq and is a predicted model, not a curated record. The transcript has a single exon.